GUGACAGCCACAGCUUACCUCAUCAUUGUCAGGAAGAGGCACAAGGCUUUAUUCAACCCCUCUGUCAGCAUUGAUGCAAGCAGCCUGGUGGUCAAUGCAGACAGGACAGGAACAGGAAGAGAACAGGACCUGGUUUAUUCUGAGAUCGUCAGAUUCAACAUUGCCAAGAGCAAAGCACAUGACCCAUCUGGAGAAGACCAGAAAGAUGCAGACGUCAAGCCAGCUGAGGAUGUCACCUACUCUGCAGUGGCAGUGGGGAACCAGCAUCCUUCAAGGGAAGACACAGUUUACUCUCAGGUGGUGAAAAAGGACUGGGACAUAGAUGAUGUAUGGACUGUCUAAGCACAAUAACAGAAAAGGGCUAACCAGACAUCCUUUACAUUCAUAUACAUUUAACUGAAGUUCUUUUAUUGGUAUUGGAUUCUGGGCUA
Salmo salar (Atlantic salmon) is the source of this 431-nucleotide long non-coding RNA. RefSeq lists it as uncharacterized. The record is from RefSeq and is a predicted model, not a curated record. NCBI's taxonomy places the organism in Eukaryota, Metazoa, Chordata, Actinopteri, Salmoniformes, Salmonidae.